UGCAGCUGGUGCAGCGUGACAGCAGUGUCACCCUGACAGCCAUGUGGGGCCUCCAGCGCGGCUCUCGCCUGCUGGCCACCGCGCUGCGUGUCCCCUGCGCCCCCCGCGCCCCCGUCACCUCCAAACCGCCCGAACAUCCCCUCUCUGCCGCUGAGCAAGCCAUUGCCUUUGGUGUAAUGUCUGCGUGCUUCCUGCUGCCCACAGCCUGGAUCCUGGCACACGUGGAGCACUACAAGAGCAGACCGGAGUAAGAAGCAGCAAGCAGAACUUCCACAGCCCAUUAGGAGCAGAAGUAUGAGCGCAGAUAGAAGCACAGAACAGCCCUUCAACGGGAAGGAGCACUCCAAGUUUGGUGAUUAAAAUCCACAUUAGCGUUCGGCA
This is a long non-coding RNA of Cuculus canorus (common cuckoo), 381 nucleotides long. RefSeq lists it as uncharacterized. The record is from RefSeq and is a predicted model, not a curated record. The transcript has 2 exons. NCBI's taxonomy places the organism in Eukaryota, Metazoa, Chordata, Aves, Cuculiformes, Cuculidae.